This is a long non-coding RNA of Amblyraja radiata (thorny skate), 117 nucleotides long. RefSeq lists it as uncharacterized. The record is from RefSeq and is a predicted model, not a curated record. The transcript is spliced from 3 exons. Lineage: Eukaryota; Metazoa; Chordata; Chondrichthyes; Rajiformes; Rajidae.
AAAAAAAUAAAUAAUUUAAUCCAUUUUAGAAUAAGGCUGUAACGCAACAAAAUGUGGAAAAGUGAAGUGGUCUGAAUACUCUCUGAAUGCCCUGUAUAUUAGUGAAAUAGUGAAAGG